GACCCGUGUUGCUACCCCGUUAAUAUUUUUUCUUAAGGAAACCUUGACUUUUCUCCUUUAAAAAAUCCCCCUUUUUGAAACUCACUCCUAAAUUUGUCACCGCCGCUUCAUUUACGGGGAUUUUAUUUCCGUUGGAGUUCAACACAUCAAUUUUAGCCAUUUCCAUUUCAAGAUUCUGAUGGAUCCUUGAGUUAUGCCAAGAUUUCCAUUCAAAAAGCAUCCAUGACCCAAAGGCCUUUGUCGGCUCCACCACUUUUUCGUUCAUAGAUGAGGCUCCCACCAUUGAAUCUGAACUCACCACGACGUCCGUUGCUAACCAACACCAAGGAAAAGGUUUUGCAAGUGGCCAAACCUUCCACAUGAGAAACAGACUAAAGGUGAGCUUUGAUGUGGGGACUUGGGCCGGAGGGGAUUCAGAGUGGCCACGGUGAUCGCUUUUGGACCUUUAAAUAAGCGUUGGUUUUCAUUUAAUUUCCUUUAAUUAUUAUUUAUUUUUGGGUUGUAAUAAGGCUAUUUUUAACUUUUCUUUUAUUUCUUCUUGGGAUUAUUUUAUUUUUAAUAACUUCAAACUUGGUUGAUAAUUGUUCAAAUGGGCUAGACUUAAGACGUGUUUUCAAA
This is a long non-coding RNA of Gossypium arboreum, 618 nucleotides long. RefSeq lists it as uncharacterized. The transcript has 2 exons. Lineage: Eukaryota; Viridiplantae; Streptophyta; Magnoliopsida; Malvales; Malvaceae. The record is from RefSeq and is a predicted model, not a curated record.